UUAAGGGCGCACGGUGGAUGCCUUGGCACUAGAAGCCGAUGAAGGACGUUACUAACGACGAUAUGCUUUGGGGAGCUGUAAGUAAGCUUUGAUCCAGAGAUUUCCGAAUGGGGAAACCCAGCAUGAGUUAUGUCAUGUUAUCGAUAUGUGAAUACAUAGCAUAUCAGAAGGCACACCUGGAGAACUGAAACAUCUUAGUACCCGGAGGAAGAGAAAGAAAAUUCGAUUCCCUUAGUAGCGGCGAGCGAAACGGGAAGAGCCCAAACCAACAAGCUUGCUUGUUGGGGUUGUAGGACACUCUAUACGGAGUUACAAAGGACGACAUUAGACGAAUCAUCUGGAAAGAUGAAUCAAAGAAGGUAAUAAUCCUGUAGUCGAAAAUGUUGUCUCUCUUGAGUGGAUCCUGAGUACGACGGAGCACGUGAAAUUCCGUCGGAAUCUGGGAGGACCAUCUCCUAAGGCUAAAUACUCUCUAGUGACCGAUAGUGAACCAGUACCGUGAGGGAAAGGUGAAAAGCACCCCGGAAGGGGAGUGAAACAGAACCUGAAACCGUGUGCUUACAAGUAGUCAGAGCCCGUUAAUGGGUGAUGGCGUGCCUUUUGUAGAAUGAACCGGCGAGUUACGAUUUGAUGCAAGGUUAAGCAGUAAAUGUGGAGCCGUAGCGAAAGCGAGUCUGAAUAGGGCGUUUAGUAUUUGGUCGUAGACCCGAAACCAGGUGAUCUACCCUUGGUCAGGUUGAAGUUCAGGUAACACUGAAUGGAGGACCGAACCGACUUACGUUGAAAAGUGAGCGGAUGAACUGAGGGUAGCGGAGAAAUUCCAAUCGAACCUGGAGAUAGCUGGUUCUCUCCGAAAUAGCUUUAGGGCUAGCCUCAAGUGAUGAUUAUUGGAGGUAGAGCACUGUUUGGACGAGGGGCCCCUCUCGGGUUACCGAAUUCAGACAAACUCCGAAUGCCAAUUAAUUUAACUUGGGAGUCAGAACAUGGGUGAUAAGGUCCGUGUUCGAAAGGGAAACAGCCCAGACCACCAGCUAAGGUCCCAAAAUAUAUGUUAAGUGGAAAAGGAUGUGGCGUUGCCCAGACAACUAGGAUGUUGGCUUAGAAGCAGCCAUCAUUUAAAGAGUGCGUAAUAGCUCACUAGUCGAGUGACACUGCGCCGAAAAUGUACCGGGGCUAAACAUAUUACCGAAGCUGUGGAUUGUCCUUUGGACAAUGGUAGGAGAGCGUUCUAAGGGCGUUGAAGCAUGAUCGUAAGGACAUGUGGAGCGCUUAGAAGUGAGAAUGCCGGUGUGAGUAGCGAAAGACGGGUGAGAAUCCCGUCCACCGAUUGACUAAGGUUUCCAGAGGAAGGCUCGUCCGCUCUGGGUUAGUCGGGUCCUAAGCUGAGGCCGACAGGCGUAGGCGAUGGAUAACAGGUUGAUAUUCCUGUACCACCUAUAAUCGUUUUAAUCGAUGGGGGACGCAGUAGGAUAGGCGAAGCGUGCGAUUGGAUUGCACGUCUAAGCAGUAAGGCUGAGUAUUAGGCAAAUCCGGUACUCAUUAAGGCUGAGCUGUGAUGGGGAGAAGACAUUGUGUCUUCGAGUCGUUGAUUUCACACUGCCGAGAAAAGCCUCUAGAUAGAAAAUAGGUGCCCGUACCGCAAACCGACACAGGUAGUCAAGAUGAGAAUUCUAAGGUGAGCGAGCGAACUCUCGUUAAGGAACUCGGCAAAAUGACCCCGUAACUUCGGGAGAAGGGGUGCUCUUUAGGGUUAACGCCCAGAAGAGCCGCAGUGAAUAGGCCCAAGCGACUGUUUAUCAAAAACACAGGUCUCUGCUAAACCGUAAGGUGAUGUAUAGGGGCUGACGCCUGCCCGGUGCUGGAAGGUUAAGAGGAGUGGUUAGCUUCUGCGAAGCUACGAAUCGAAGCCCCAGUAAACGGCGGCCGUAACUAUAACGGUCCUAAGGUAGCGAAAUUCCUUGUCGGGUAAGUUCCGACCCGCACGAAAGGCGUAACGAUUUGGGCACUGUCUCAACGAGAGACUCGGUGAAAUCAUAGUACCUGUGAAGAUGCAGGUUACCCGCGACAGGACGGAAAGACCCCGUGGAGCUUUACUGUAGCCUGAUAUUGAAAUUCGGCACAGCUUGUACAGGAUAGGUAGGAGCCUUUGAAACGUGAGCGCUAGCUUACGUGGAGGCGCUGGUGGGAUACUACCCUAGCUGUGUUGGCUUUCUAACCCGCACCACUUAUCGUGGUGGGAGACAGUGUCAGGCGGGCAGUUUGACUGGGGCGGUCGCCUCCUAAAAGGUAACGGAGGCGCUCAAAGGUUCCCUCAGAAUGGUUGGAAAUCAUUCAUAGAGUGUAAAGGCAUAAGGGAGCUUGACUGCGAGACCUACAAGUCGAGCAGGGUCGAAAGACGGACUUAGUGAUCCGGUGGUUCCGCAUGGAAGGGCCAUCGCUCAACGGAUAAAAGCUACCCCGGGGAUAACAGGCUUAUCUCCCCCAAGAGUUCACAUCGACGGGGAGGUUUGGCACCUCGAUGUCGGCUCAUCGCAUCCUGGGGCUGUAGUCGGUCCCAAGGGUUGGGCUGUUCGCCCAUUAAAGCGGUACGCGAGCUGGGUUCAGAACGUCGUGAGACAGUUCGGUCCCUAUCCGUCGUGGGCGUAGGAAAUUUGAGAGGAGCUGUCCUUAGUACGAGAGGACCGGGAUGGACAUACCUCUGGUGUACCAGUUGUCGUGCCAACGGCAUAGCUGGGUAGCUAUGUGUGGACGGGAUAAGUGCUGAAAGCAUCUAAGCAUGAAGCCCCCCUCAAGAUGAGAUUUCCCAACUUCGGUUAUAAGAUCCCUCAAAGAUGAUGAGGUUAAUAGGUUCGAGGUGGAAGCAUGGUGACAUGUGGAGCUGACGAAUACUAAUCGAUCGAAGACUUAAUCAA
Molecule: ribosomal RNA, 2912 nt
Filed under: Staphylococcus aureus
Lineage: Bacteria; Bacillati; Bacillota; Bacilli; Caryophanales; Staphylococcaceae
Description: bacterial LSU rRNA
Rfam family: Bacterial large subunit ribosomal RNA
Source: RNAcentral